This 258-nucleotide ribosomal RNA is filed under the name uncultured bacterium. RNAcentral's name for it is "partial 16S ribosomal RNA". It matches the Rfam family "Bacterial small subunit ribosomal RNA", at positions 524 to 778 of the family's 1533-position model. The record is from RNAcentral.
UACGAAGGGUGCAAGGCGUUAAUCGGAAUUACUGGGCGUAAAGGGCGCGUAGGCGGCCACUGCAAGUCAGUUGUGAAAUCUCCGGGCUUAACCCGGAAAGGUCAACUGAUACUGCAGGGCUAGAGUGCAGAAGGGGCAACUGGAAUUCUCGGUGUAGCGGUGAAAAUGCGUAGAUAUCGAGAGGAACACCUGCGGCGAAGGCGGGUUGCUGGGCUGACACUGACUGAGGCGCGAAAAGCCAGGGGGAGCGAAACGGGG